GAAAUGCGAUAAGUAGUGUGAAUUGCAGAAUUCAGUGAAUCAUCGAAUCUUUGAACGCAUCUUGCGCUCCUUGGUAUUCCUUGGAGCAUGCCUGUUUGAGUAUCAUGAAAUCUUCAAAGUAAAUCUUUUGUUAACUCAAUUGGUUUCUACUUUGGUAUUGGAGGUCUUUGCAGCUUCACACCUGCUCCUCUUUGUUCAUUAGCUGGAUCUCAGUGUUAUGCUUGGUUCCACUCGGCGUGAUAAGUUAUCUAUCGCUGAGGACACUGUAAAAGGUGGCCAAGGUAAAUGCAGAUGAACCGCUUCUAAUAGUCCAUUGACUUGGACAAUACUUUUAUGAUCUGAUCUCAAAUCAGGUAGGACUACCCGCUGAACUUAAGC
This 378-nucleotide unclassified non-coding RNA is filed under the name plant metagenome. Its description in RNAcentral is "partial contains 5.8S ribosomal RNA, internal transcribed spacer 2, and large subunit ribosomal RNA". The stretch from base 1 to 105 matches the Rfam family "5.8S ribosomal RNA", at positions 50 to 154 of the family's 154-position model. The record is from RNAcentral.